GUUGUUGUUGUUGAGAGUUUUACAGCGUAAAAAAACAUUUUCUGAUGUAAUGGUGCAAUAAUCUCACAGAUUCUCAUACUUCUCAUACAUUUACUCAUGUAAUGGUGCAAUAACCGAUAAGAUUGUUAAGUACUCCCAUAAAACUUGCCUGUGUUCUAAAAAGCAUAAUUGCUGUAAACUACUUGGGUAUUUCCAGCUUGUUAAAAGUAUAUUGUAAUAGCUUCGAACCGACCAGCCGCAAAAUCACCUGCUUUGCUAAAAUUGUUCUUCCCAUGAAGAACUAAGACGACAGGAUAGUAAAUUUCAUUCUUGCGAUACCAGAAACUCCUGCUCGAGAUGACAGUGGAUUGGAAACUGGUCUUACUGGCCACAUUCGUUUUCGCUACCAAUAAGAUCGGUACUUCUACAAUAAUGUGUAAUACGCCAGUUUCAAAAGCCUGCAACAGAAUCUGACCACCUGCACGACUUUUCCAAAGGCCAACUUAAUUUUUGAUGAAUAUGGUAGGAAAAGCCAUUGAAUGUUACCAAUGCCAAUACGCGUCCGGAAACUUUCCUGAAGAUUAUAAUCGGUCCAGGACAAAUUGCCUUAACACCAUCACCAAAAAUUGUUCCAUGACCAACAAUUGUGCUCAUAGAACCGUAUUACAUACAACCCCCACAGAAUUCCAAACCCACACUCAAGAAUGUGGGCAGAGGAUUGUAACUCCUUAUAAUAUGUCGUGUGCACCCUUCCCGCAAGAAGGUUACCGCGGUCAAGCAUGUUUCUGCUUUGGCGAUCUCUGCAACACGAUGGGGAUCCAAACUACCACAGGUACCGGAAAUCCAAAUGCGGGUAAUUCUCAGAUUUUAUUAAAUGGCGAUUUUGACACUACACGUAAAGUGAUCCAUAAGUGAACGUAACCGGAGCACAGAAGACGAGCUCAGCUGCUGUAUCUAAGCUGAAUCUCAUGUGGGCGCUGGUUUUCUGCUUGAUUCAUUACGGCACCAAAAUCAAGAUCCAACAUUUCCCUUCCGCUGUAAGGGAAUCCAUUGGAUGGUGGUGAUGUCCGUGAACAAGCUUUACAUUGAAGAUCAUGACGCGCUUGACCGUGACCAUCCGAAACGCGUAGAACUGCUGAGGACAAUACCACUUGGCAGCCGUCAUUACCCGUUCCAUGACCGAGACGGUACCACGCCGCGACGGCACUCCGGUGGCGGCGACACUGCUGUUCUUUGCCGGGCUGCUUCUCUGUAACACAAUCAAAGUGAAUCAAAGACUUGUGAAAUCAAUAAACAGUGUACAAGAGGUAUACGUCCAGUGCGCACGCAUUGCCAGGACUCACUUCGAACAGAGAAGCGCUUGUACUGCGCAAAAUGCGUAAUUAUUGCUUUACGUAGCUGAUUUAUUGUUAACUUUUUGACUCCUACAUUGUGACAUUCUAGAUCUGUUAUGGCGCGUACUAGUAGUGAGUUUGUGCCAGUAAAGCAGCGGCUGCUACGGUGAAAACAAGUACAUAAAUAUGUCCGGUACAUUGAAAAAAUCAGUACACACCUGUCUGAUAGCCACCUGUUCGUCAUCCGUUGGCUGGCCCGGUCCGUACAUCUCAUCGUGGCGUAGCCGGAUCGAAUCUGCCAGCAUUUGCCGGGAUAUCUUCACAAUGUUUCCAUUCUGUGGAAGUGGAAUAAAGGAGUGGUGGCAAUGGUUUAGACUGUGCGGUUAUUGUCGGUUGAUUACAUUAAUAUUGUGAAAAAAAGCAUUAGGUCAA
Molecule: RNA transcript, 1745 nt
Organism: Paramacrobiotus metropolitanus
Lineage: Eukaryota; Metazoa; Tardigrada; Eutardigrada; Parachela; Macrobiotidae
Exons: 6
Source: RefSeq, a predicted model, not a curated record